UUAUGGAGAAGACUUCAUAAGUGUUAUAUUUCCUAUUUUGCAAAUUCAGAAUUUGCAAAAUAGGAAAUAUAACACUUAUGAAGUCUUCUCCAUAA
This 95-nucleotide small RNA is filed under the name Mytilus galloprovincialis (Mediterranean mussel). Lineage: Eukaryota; Metazoa; Mollusca; Bivalvia; Mytilida; Mytilidae. The record is from RNAcentral.